This is a long non-coding RNA of Diachasma alloeum, 486 nucleotides long. RefSeq lists it as uncharacterized. Lineage: Eukaryota; Metazoa; Arthropoda; Insecta; Hymenoptera; Braconidae. The transcript has 3 exons. The record is from RefSeq and is a predicted model, not a curated record.
AAAGAAUCACCUGAAAAACAUUAAGAACAUGUUGAGGACGAGGAGGACAUCAACUGCCAUCCGAAAUUAUCCACCCCCAGGUUUUGCUGCAUCACUGAGUAACAGCAUUGGCAGUAUAUUAUCAGGAUUAUGGAGAAAAGACGUAUAAAUUCAGUACAUCGCUCGUGGAAUAAAAGAUCAGAGGAGUCAAGAAACAAAACUUUGGGGAUAUAAAUACCUUCAGAUAUGCCAAAGGGAAAUCUGAAAGGAAGCUGGGAGACCGCAAGGCAAACAAAAAGGAAGAGGACACCUAGUUCUAAAGUGUUACAGUGCUUUUUUUCCGACUCAUAAUUUAUAAAUAAAUUAAAAACAGAAAGAAUCUACGAAGUCUAUAGGAAAAAUGAUGAUGUAAAUGAACGUUGCAUAUAUAGGAUCAUUUUUUUGGAUCAUAAAUAAUUCAGUUACAUACAAAUAUACAAAAAGGAGUUUUUUCUCUCAUGACAAUGA